RNAcentral lists this RNase P RNA (357 nucleotides) under Lachnospiraceae bacterium. RNAcentral's name for it is "RNase P RNA component class A". It matches the Rfam family "Bacterial RNase P class A". From Rfam's summary of the family: Ribonuclease P (RNase P) is a ubiquitous endoribonuclease, found in archaea, bacteria and eukarya as well as chloroplasts and mitochondria. Its best characterised activity is the generation of mature 5'-ends of tRNAs by cleaving the 5'-leader elements of precursor-tRNAs. The record is from RNAcentral. Lineage: Bacteria; Bacillati; Bacillota; Clostridia; Lachnospirales; Lachnospiraceae.
CAACUGUAGUAAAUGAUCGCGGCUUGCCGGAAUAUUCCGGUGAGGUGAGGAAAGUCCGGGCUUCACAGGGCAGGAUGCCGGAUAACGUCCGGUGGAGGCGACUCCAAGGCCAGUGCAACAGAAAUAUACCGCCUCUGUGCGAAAGCAUAGAGGUAAGGGUGGAAGGGCGGUGUAAGAGACCACCGCCUCCGCGGUAACGCGGAGGGCACAUGUAAACCCCAUCCGAAGCAAGACCAAACAGAGAACCACAGGCUGGCCCGGUCUGUUCUCAGGUAGGUCGCUUGAGGCUGACGGUGACGUCAGUCCUAGAUAGAUGAUCAUUCUCGACAGAACCCGGCUUAUCGCUGCGGUUGCCGA